RNAcentral lists this ribosomal RNA (305 nucleotides) under uncultured prokaryote. Its description in RNAcentral is "partial 16S ribosomal RNA". The record is from RNAcentral.
CCCUACGGGGUGCACGAGCAGGCUCUCGCGCCGGGUGAAGAGCAGUUUGACCGGCUUACCAGUGGCCUGGGCGAGCAGCGCGGCAUGGAUUUGGCCGGCAAUAUCUUCCUUGCCGCCAAAGCCCCCUCCGGUUUUUUGCCCGCGUACGCGCACGCUCAGCUCGGGCACACCCAGGGCCUCGGCCACCUGGCGGCGGUCAGCAUAAGGGAUUUGCGAGCCAACAAAGAUAUCCAUGCCGCCAUCAGGCCGCGGUACAGCGAUGGAACAUUCCGGCUCCAUGAAAAAGUGGUCGGUGGCGGGAGAGC